Long non-coding RNA from Macadamia integrifolia, 1149 nucleotides. RefSeq lists it as uncharacterized. The transcript has 2 exons. The record is from RefSeq and is a predicted model, not a curated record. NCBI's taxonomy places the organism in Eukaryota, Viridiplantae, Streptophyta, Magnoliopsida, Proteales, Proteaceae.
UGACUGCUAUACCCUUUUCACUAAAACUUAUUUUAACCCAAUUCCUCUUCACUCCUACAGUCCUACCUAUACUCUCUCCGUCCCCGCCGAAUACUGCUCCUUCCGUCACCAACGACUUCUGCUCCAUCGACGUGACCAUGACCACCACCGCCACUGUGGGCUUGGGUUUCUGGCAGUUCAUGGUGGCGGAUUUCAUUGCCGGCAUGGUCAAACACAUGGAAAUGUUCCCUGUCGACACCCUCAAGACCCGUAUGCAAAUGCUCGGCGCCACUUCUACCACCGCUUCAUCUACCCCCUAUCCGACUCAGACUUUACACCAUACCAGAGCGCCCCAAGAACGAUACCAAGGGUAGCGCCAGCAAGGACCUGUGCGACAGUGUGGUAGCCCAGAUAAACCCUAGAAUACAUAGUAAGGAUGGCCGUAGCCCAAGAUAAAGAAGCCACAAUAAACUUCCGUUUCUCCGUUGGGAAUCCAAUUCCUCUAUAUGUGAGAAAAGUAAAGUAUAUUCAGGGUCCGAGACAGGUUCAGCCCAGCACUAGCCCUAGCCCCAGCUCCAGCUCCUGCCCCAGUAGGAUGCUCGACUGGCCGACAAGCUGAGGAAAAUUAGAGACAGCGGUGGAGCUGUGGAUAAAGCCAACAUCAUGAAUCGAUCAAACUAUUUAUUGGUCCUGAGAUGUAAAUGGAAUUCUCGGAACAUUCUGCAACUGCAAGCUUCUAUUAGCUCUACAAGUACAGUGGUAGCAGCCUCUUCGGUGAGUGUUGCCUUUGCUUCCUAGCAAUUUUCCAUAGCUUCCGAACACUUUACGUAGGAGCCUUCAUCUCUGCUUCUCAAAAUGCAAACGCCCAAAGGCAACGGAAUACCCUCACACAUCUUCUGGUGGGAGCGAUCACGAAAGCAUCACAGACAUGACAGGGGAAGAACGAUUUCAUUAUGUGUUUGGCUCUAAUGGCAGAGAGUCGUUGGUGGUUGCCAUGAGUUCCUGCUGGUCGCCGAUGCCGAUGCCGCUGCCAUGAUCUCCGGUGCUCUGAAUGAUCACUGGUGGUCAAAUUCUAUUUGGGGAUGGGACUUAUUAAAUGGGCAUUUUAGUGUUUGGUUCGGUAAAUCUUUGGGAUGACAUUCUUUAGAAUGAUAAUUCUUAAUUUUUUGA